RNAcentral lists this ribosomal RNA (1087 nucleotides) under Phycisphaerales bacterium. Its description in RNAcentral is "bacterial SSU rRNA". It matches the Rfam family "Bacterial small subunit ribosomal RNA", at positions 1 to 1071 of the family's 1533-position model. The record is from RNAcentral. Lineage: Bacteria; Pseudomonadati; Planctomycetota; Phycisphaerae; Phycisphaerales.
CAACUUGAAGAGUUUGAUCCUGGCUCAGAACGAACGCUGGCGGCGUGGCUAAGACAUGCAAGUCGCACGGACUAUGCUUAACCGUAUAGUCAGUGGCGAAAGGGUGAGGAAUAGAUAGGUAACGUACCCUGUGCACCGGAAUAGCGUCGGUUAGUAGCAAUACUAACCUACCGAAAGGGGCGGUAAUACCGGAUAACGUUGUCGGUCGCAUGAUCGACAUCCAAUGGAUUUAUCGGCACAGGAGCGGCCUUUCUCCUAUCAGCUAGUUGGCGAGGUAAUGGCUCACCAAGGCUUUGACGGGUACCGGGAUUGAGAGAUUGACCCGGCACAUCGGAACUGAGACACUGUCCGGACCUCCACGGAGGGCUGCAGUAACGAAUAUUGGGCAAUGGGCGCAAGCCUGACCCAGCGACGCCGCGUGAAGGAUGAAGUCCUUCGGGAUGUAAACUUCUUUUAGGGUGCUGAAAGUCCGCAAGGAUUGAUCUAACCCAGAAAAAGUCACGGCUAACUCUGUGCCAGCAGCCGCGGUAAUACAGAGGUGGCAAGCGUUGUUCGGAAUCACUGGGCUUAAAGCGUGUGUAGGCAGAUCAGUAAGUGUCUUGUGAAAUCCCUCGUCUCAACCGAGGAACUGCUGGGCAAACUACUGAUCUUGAGGUAGGCAGGGGUGCUUGGAACUCUUGGUGGAGCGGUGAAAUGCGUAGAUAUCAAGAGGAACGCCUGUGGAGAAAUCGGAGCACUGGGCCUAUUCUGACGCUGAGACACGAAAGCGUGGGGAGUGAACGGGAUUAGAUACCCCGGUAAUCCACGCUGUAAACGAUGCAUACUUGGUGUUGGAAAUUCUGACAUUUUCAAGACCGAAACAAAAGCGUUAAGUAUGCCGCCUGGGGAGUACGGUCGCAAGGCUAAAACUCAAAGGAAUUGACGGGGGCUCACACAAGCGGUGGAGCAUGUGGUUCAAUUCGAAGCAACGCGCAGAACCUUACCUGGGUUUGACAUGCUUGGAUGGCUUUCUGGAAACAGAGUAGCUUGCCCGCAAGGGUGAAACAAGCACAGGUGCUGCAUGGCUGUCGUCAGCUCGUGUCGUGAG